Molecule: small RNA, 28 nt
Filed under: Bombyx mori (domestic silkworm)
Lineage: Eukaryota; Metazoa; Arthropoda; Insecta; Lepidoptera; Bombycidae
Description: ovarian small RNA-15204
Source: RNAcentral
GAAGAAAUCAAAAUUCAAAGUGCCUUGA